UAUUUUUGGUCCAUUAUUAAAGACUCAGAAAACAAGCAUAUUUUCAAAUAGCGUUCUGCACAGUGAUGUAUCUGUGCUUGAUGCCACGGUUCUUUACAUAAUAUGAUAAUAAUGUUAUCUGUUAACGUAAAAACAGAGUUUGACUCCACGGAAGUAGCUGGAAAUGGAUAACUACAAUAUGCUUGAAUCUCUUAGGAACAUACCGUUUGACAUAUAAAGCUAAAAGUUCCUUAUGUUUAGGAAUUCUUUUAAGCGAAAUGCUUGUAGUGAGUCUCAGCUGGUGUGCAUGAAGAAGUAUUCAUCUCCCAGUAGUAAAAUUGAAUUUUAUUUUUUUACAUUUUUUAUAUGUCUUCAAUGGAUUGAAACACUUUGAAGGAAAAAAAUGCAUGCAUUUCUGGUC
Molecule: long non-coding RNA, 400 nt
Organism: Colius striatus (speckled mousebird)
Lineage: Eukaryota; Metazoa; Chordata; Aves; Coliiformes; Coliidae
Rfam family: Prostate cancer antigen RNA 3 conserved region 2
Source: Rfam